RNAcentral lists this ribosomal RNA (489 nucleotides) under uncultured bacterium. RNAcentral's name for it is "partial 16S ribosomal RNA". It matches the Rfam family "Bacterial small subunit ribosomal RNA", at positions 30 to 507 of the family's 1533-position model. The record is from RNAcentral.
UUGAACGCUGGCGGCAGGCCUAACACAUGCAAGUCGAACGGUAACAGGAAGCAGCUUGCUGCUUCGCUGACGAGUGGCGGACGGGUGAGUAAUGUCUGGGAAGCUGCCUGAUGGAGGGGGAUAACUACUGGAAACGGUAGCUAAUACCGCAUAAUGUCGCAAGACCAAAGAGGGGGACCUUCGGGCCUCUUGCCAUCGGAUGUGCCCAGAUGGGAUUAGCUUGUUGGUGGGGUAACGGCUCACCAAGGCGACGAUCCCUAGCUGGUCUGAGAGGAUGACCAGCCACACUAGAACUGAGACACGGUCCAGACUCCUACGGGACGCAGCAGUGGGGAAUAUUGCACAAUGGGCGCAAGCCUGAUGCAGCCAUGCCGCGUGUAUGAAGAAGGCCUUCGGGUUGUAAAGUACUUUCAGCGGGGAGGAAGGGAGUAACGUUAAUACCUUUGCUAAUUGACGUUACCCGCAGAAGAAGCACCGGCUAACUCCGUG